CAACAUCAAAGAAGAAUUCCAUAUUUUUUUAAGUUGAAUUACAAUUUUUAUUGAUUUAUUUUCUUACACUCUUUGUGCGAUGGAUUUUUUUUUCUUUGUGUGUUGGAUUGCUGUUAGUAGAGCUUAAUUCUGCUUCUACAGAUGUCAUACACUGAUUCCUUUAUCUCUUUCCAUAUCCUAAGCAGUAACCUUCUGGACCUCGAAUAAUCCAAGUCACUUGUGAACCACAUCAUUCCCCUUAUAUCUGCUUUACCAAUUUUAUAUGGUGGAGUUUCUUAUUUUGAAUAUAUCAGAAGGUUUGCUCAAAAAAAAGAAUAUAUCAGAAGGUUUGAGGUCAGAACCCAUUAUGCUGCUGGAGCGUCCUCGUGUUGUGUCAGAACAAGUAGGCCAUGCUUGGGAUCUACCCGACAACAAAUUUGGAGCUGCAUAUGCAAGAGUCAUGGGACCUAGAAACUUCUCUCCCUUCCGCCCCUAAGAUUCAUGGAGACACAUGAGCUGGCUUACGUAGUAACACGGGCGGGCACGUAAAGUUCACGACUUGUGGCACACUCUCUUCACCCUCCCUACGAAUCUUAUAGGUGAGUCGGAUCUAAAAGUCACCGAGUUCGGCAACAAGAAGAGAACUUGCAAGUUUUUUUUCUUGAUUCAAACUAUUUGGAACACUUUUCAUCAGAACAUUACAAGAGAAACAGGACUGAGAUAGAUUGACAAGAAACCGACUUCUUAUCAUUAAAGGCUGGGCUCACAUCAAACAGUUUUUAUAGUGUGCGAAUGCAACAAGGAGACAAUGGAUACGCAUUUGCAUUACACAUAAUGUUUUUAUUAUACUUUACUUGCCACCAGUGAAAAGAUAAU
Long non-coding RNA from Brassica napus (rape), 855 nucleotides. RefSeq lists it as uncharacterized. The transcript is spliced from 2 exons. NCBI's taxonomy places the organism in Eukaryota, Viridiplantae, Streptophyta, Magnoliopsida, Brassicales, Brassicaceae. The record is from RefSeq and is a predicted model, not a curated record.